CCCUUAGACGUUCUGGGCCGCACGCGCGCUACACUGACCAGUGCAACAAGCAUCCGUCCUUGGCCGACAGGCUCGGGCAAUCUUUGAACGCUGGUCGUGAUGGGGAUAGACUUUUGCAAUUUUUGGUCUUCAACGAGGAAUUCCUAGUAAACGCAAGUCAUCAACUUGCAUUGAUUACGCCCCUGCCCUUUGUACACACCGCCCGUCGCGCCUACCGAUUGAAUGGUCCGGUGAAGCCUCCGGAUUGGCGCGCACCUCGGUGCCGCCGAGAAGUUGGCUAAACCUUACCAUUUAGAGGAAGGUGAANUCGUAACA
RNAcentral lists this ribosomal RNA (315 nucleotides) under uncultured eukaryote. RNAcentral's name for it is "partial 18S ribosomal RNA". It matches the Rfam family "Eukaryotic small subunit ribosomal RNA", at positions 1470 to 1796 of the family's 1831-position model. The record is from RNAcentral.